GAUGAACGCUGGCGGCGUGCCUAAUACAUGCAAGUCGAGCGAACGGACGAGAAGCUUGCUUCUCUGACGUUAGCGGCGGACGGGUGAGUAACCCGUGGAUAACCUACCUAUAAGACUGGGAUAACUUCGGGAAACCGGAGCUAAUACCGGAUAAUAUUUUGAACCGCAUUGUUCAAAAGUGAAAGACGGUCUUGCUGUCACUUAUAGAUGGAUCCGCGCUGCAUUAGCUAGUUGGUAAGGUAACGGCUUACCAAGGCAACGAUGCAUAGCCGACCUGAGAGGGUGAUCGGCCACACUGGAACUGAGACACGGUCCAGACUCCUACGGGAGGCAGCAGUAGGGAAUCUUCCGCAAUGGGCGAAAGCCUGACGGAGCAACGCCGCGUGAGUGAUGAAGGUCUUCGGAUCGUAAAACUCUGUUAUUAGGGAAGAACAAAUGUGUAAGUAACUGUGCACAUCUUGACGGUACCUAAUCAGAAAGCCACGGCUAACUACGUG
RNAcentral lists this ribosomal RNA (497 nucleotides) under uncultured bacterium. RNAcentral's name for it is "partial 16S ribosomal RNA". It matches the Rfam family "Bacterial small subunit ribosomal RNA", at positions 28 to 507 of the family's 1533-position model. The record is from RNAcentral.